UUUUUUUUACUUACUAAUUACAUUAUUAUAAUUCAUACACUAAAAUUUAGUAAAUAAGUUAUCAAGUAUAUACUAUUAUAACGUAGUUUAGGUCAGGAAAUGCUUUAAAUGCAAAUAUCCAUCAUAUUUAAGAACUAAGAUACUACAGAAAUAAACAAUAAACAAAGCUAAAGCAGUCAGAGGCUCAGAGCAUAUAAACAAUAAAUAGGCAGCCACACAAGCAAUAAACAACAUAGCAAAUUCAAAGCAUAGCCAGAGCAGAGCCUCCGAUAAAUAAUCACUUUCCAUUGGAAAUGAUUUAUUGAACCACAAGUUUACAACUUUUCAGCCCACCUCUUUUUAAACAAUGUAAUACUCCUGUUUCUUGUGAUUAACAUUGUGGUAAGACCAAUUCAGAAGGAAAAUAAAAAUAAAAAUACAUAUCACAAAGCACAACACAUACAUAUUUAUUUUACUCGGUGCAUAUCACAAAGUACAACACAUACCAUGCUAUAAACUCAUCCCUUUUCGUAAAAUUCACUCUCUUUAUA
This 530-nucleotide long non-coding RNA is filed under the name Panax ginseng (ginseng). RNAcentral describes it as "long non-coding RNA (PGIN_LNC012372)". The record is from RNAcentral. Lineage: Eukaryota; Viridiplantae; Streptophyta; Magnoliopsida; Apiales; Araliaceae.